This 856-nucleotide ribosomal RNA is filed under the name uncultured organism. RNAcentral's name for it is "bacterial SSU rRNA". It matches the Rfam family "Bacterial small subunit ribosomal RNA", at positions 527 to 1382 of the family's 1533-position model. The record is from RNAcentral.
GAGGGGUGCAAGCGUUAAUCGGAAUUACUGGGCGUAAAGCGUUCGUAGGCGGUCUAUUAAGCAAGAUGUGAAAGCCCAGGGCUCAACCUUGGAACUGCAUUUUGAACUGGUAGACUAGAGUACUGUAGAGGGUGGUGGAAUUUCCAGUGUAGCGGUGAAAUGCGUAGAGAUUGGAAGGAACAUCAGUGGCGAAGGCGGCCACCUGGACAGAUACUGACGCUGAGGAACGAAAGCGUGGGGAGCGAACAGGAUUAGAUACCCUGGUAGUCCACGCCGUAAACGAUGUCAACUAGCCGUUUGUGGACUUGAUCCGUGAGUGGCGCAGCUAACGCACUAAGUUGACCGCCUGGGGAGUACGGCCGCAAGGUUAAAACUCAAAUGAAUUGACGGGGGCCCGCACAAGCGGUGGAGCAUGUGGUUUAAUUCGAUGCAACGCGAAGAACCUUACCAUCCCUUGACAUCCAGAGAAGAGACUAGAGAUAGACUUGUGCCUUCGGGAACUCUGUGACAGGUGCUGCAUGGCUGUCGUCAGCUCGUGUUGUGAAAUGUUGGGUUAAGUCCCGCAACGAGCGCAACCCCUAUCCUUAUUUGCCAGCGCGUUAUGGCGGGAACUCUAAGGAGACUGCCGGUGAUAAACCGGAGGAGGGUGGGGACGACGUCAAGUCAUCAUGGCCCUUACGGGAUGGGCUACACACGUGCUACAAUGGCAGGUACAGAGGGCAGCAAUACCGCGAGGUGGAGCGAAUCCCACAAAGCUUGUCGUAGUCCGGAUUGGAGUCUGCAACUCGACUCCAUGAAGUCGGAAUCGCUAGUAAUCGUAGAUCAGAAUGCUACGGUGAAUACGUUCCCGGGCCUU